UACGUAGGGGGCAAGCGUUGUCCGGAAUUAUUGGGCGUAAAGAGCGUGUAGGCGGCCCGAUAAGUCCGCUGUGAAAGUCCAGGGCUCAACCCUGGAAUGCCGGUGGAUACUGUCGGGCUCGAAUCCGGAAGAGGUGAGUGGAAUUCCUGGUGUAGCGGUGAAAUGCGCAGAUAUCAGGAGGAACACCGGUGGCGAAGGCGGCUCUCUGGACCACAACUGACGCUGAGGCGCGAAAGCUAGGGGAGCAAACAGG
This 253-nucleotide ribosomal RNA is filed under the name uncultured bacterium. RNAcentral's name for it is "partial 16S ribosomal RNA". It matches the Rfam family "Bacterial small subunit ribosomal RNA", at positions 524 to 776 of the family's 1533-position model. The record is from RNAcentral.